AUGGGCGGCCUGGGUUUCCGAGAUAUAGAGCUGUUCAACCUGGCUCUUCUUUCCCGGCAAGCGUGGAGGGUGAUGCAGCAGUCGUAAUCCCUUAGCGCUCGCGUUCUGAAAGCUCGUUACUUCCAAAACACUGAUCUGAUGAACGCAACACUUGGCAGCGCUCCUUCGCAGGGGCUUAUCAAGAUAAUCGGCACCGGAGCAGCCACGCACAUUUGGCAGGAUAAUUGGCCGCCGAGAGACUAUAAGAUGAGGCCCAUUUGCGCCUGAUCAGCGAACCCGCCGAUGGCGGUUUCAGAACUUAUCAAUCCAGUCACGCGAUCAUGGAACCGGCAAGCCCUAACAAAGCACUUCAUACCUGCUGAUGUCGACGUUAUCCUCAAUAUACCGCUCAGUACAAGGCAACAGGAGGACUUUUGGGCUUGGCAUUAUGAUAAGCGAGGUAUCUUCUCGGUACGGUCAACAUAUAGGAUGAUUUGUGCUAUCAAAACACAAAGAGAGGAUUGGCUAGAACAUCGUCCGGGCCAUUCUAAUAUUGCCGCGGACAAAAAUUCUUGGUCCCAGCUUUGGAAGGUGAAGGUUCCUUCAAAAAUACGAGUUUUUGUAUGGAGUUUGGCGCAUACUUCAAUCCCUAUCGGCCUGGUGAGACAUGAAAGGCAUAUGGCAGAUUCUCCAUCUUGUUCUACCUGUGGAGCGGAGGAGGAUACAUGGCGCCACUCGCUACUGAGCUGCCGCAUGGCGAGAUGUGUUUGGGCUUUGGAGGAUGAUGAACUGGUCGAGCAUGUGAUAUCAAACCAAACCGAAGACGCGAGACUUUGGCUGUUCUGGUUGUUUGAGACUACAAGUCAACAUGACCUAGCUCGAAUCCUAGUGACCAUGUGGGCAAUUUGGUGGGCAGGAGGAAGGCCAUCCACGAGAAUGAAUUUUAGAGUCCGCUUUCCACUAUGA
Molecule: ribosomal RNA, 945 nt
Filed under: Triticum aestivum (bread wheat)
Lineage: Eukaryota; Viridiplantae; Streptophyta; Magnoliopsida; Poales; Poaceae
Description: partial small subunit ribosomal RNA
Source: RNAcentral